Long non-coding RNA from Myotis daubentonii (Daubenton's bat), 2252 nucleotides. RefSeq lists it as uncharacterized. The record is from RefSeq and is a predicted model, not a curated record. NCBI's taxonomy places the organism in Eukaryota, Metazoa, Chordata, Mammalia, Chiroptera, Vespertilionidae. The transcript has 7 exons.
UGUUUAAGUUAUAUAUGCUGUGUUUUGUGUUUUAAUUAAGAAAUAAUAGCCCUAACCGGUUUGGCUCAGUGGAUAGAGUGUCAGCCUGCGGACUGAAGGGUCCCAGAUUCGAUUCCGGUCAAGGACAUGUAUCUUGGUUGUGGGCACAUCCCUAGUAGGGGGUAAGCAGGAGGCAACUGAUCGAUGUUUCUCUCUCAUCGAUGCUUCUAACUCUCUAUCCCUCUCCCUUCCUCUCUGUAAAAAAUCAAUAUAAAAAAAUUUAAAAAAGAAAUAAUAAAACUAGAUCAUGUGAUUUACCUGAAUUUAGAGUUUGUUUUCUACGUAUUUCAAUUUAAUUCAAUUUAGUUAUAUUAUUGUUUUAAAGUUACUGAUGUUCAUGUUGUAUGGUGGGAAAACCAAGGAAUGGGAGUUCGGUCUGGGGUCAAGCUGUGCGGCCUCACUUAACUCCCCUGAGCAGUGGGAGGAGAUGAGACAAAACUAUCUGAAAUCACAUUGCCAACCAUAAAACUCUAUUAAAAUCCUGACAUUUAGUUCCGCAUUCUUUGUUCUGAUGUUAAAGUACAGUUCAUUGUUAAUAACUCGAGCUGUUAAUGAGUAUUAUAUAAUCAGGCUUCUUUGGGGGUCUGUACACAACCUAUUGGCUACACACUGGCAUUGAAAUACUCGAAUUACAUUUCCAUUUCAACUGAUUGCUUUGCUGAUCUGCAAGGUCUCAUGCUAAUGUGAAAGGAGGAAAGAGAAGAGAAGGCUUGGGACUGAGCAGCAUUUUCCAAUUAACAGAACAUGGAUCUGGCACCUUUCUUCUUUAUAAAGAGGGGGGAGCGGUCCCCAGAUAGAAUGAGCUUAUCGUGCAUUCUACCUGCAGCUUACAGAAUUGCUGGGAGGGCUGGAGAGCUGAGCUGGAGGCUUGGCAGCAGGGACAAUGUCCAGAAUCACACCUGCAAUCCCAUCUGGUGAGAACAGCUCCUGCUGCCUUCUGUACCAAAUGCUCCACCAGCCCUCCCAUCCUAUGAUGCUGGUGGCCUCGUGACUCGGAUUCAGCCACAGCAAACUUAUAGAAAGCUGCAACCCCCAGGGAGACAACGAUGGCUCCAACAAUAUGAAAUUGCAGACACUUGGUCAGAAAGACACACAUCAGAAGUUUUGCCAAAGCACUGGAAGCAAUGUCCCCAAACAGAAACUCUACAAAAGAAUGAACCUGAAGAUCAUUUCUACCUGUUCAAAUGCUAUCCUAUCGCUAUAUUCAUGCCUAUGAAGUCUCUUUGUGCAUAGGGCAGGAAAAGGUGUGUGACAGGUGGCUCCUUGAUUUUCUUCUAUUCUCGUGAUGAGAAAUUGGUGCCGAAUGACUGGACUACAGUAAUUCCUCUUCAUCUUUGUGACAUUCAGGUCCUCAGCAGCUCGCAUCUAGGCUGGGAUGGCCACCCACCUGGUCUUCCCAUCUCUGUUUUGUGAUAAGGCAGAGACAAGGAGCCUGAUGAUGUAGCCUUCCCAGGUCAGCUUCCUGGGUCAGAGUGGAGAAGUGAGAAAUGAGCUCAGAAGAGAGCCCUCAGCUCCAGAUAAAAACACAGCUGGCUAACAUCUUGAUUCCAGCCUGAGCAGAGAAGUCAGCCAUGCUGAGCUGGACUUCCAACCUACAGCACUGUGAGCUAAUAAAUAGGUGCCAUUCUAAACUGCUAAAAAAAAAAAAAAAUUGUUCUUAACUCUGGCCGGUGUGCUCAGUUAGUUGGGCAUCAUCCUGUGCACUGAAAGGUUGAGGGUCAAUUCCCGGCCAGUGCACAUGCCCAGUGUGGGCUCGAUCCCCAGUAGGGACUCUCUCUCCACCAUUCCUCUCUCUCUAAAAAUCAAUAAAAAUAUACUUUAAAAAUUUGCCCUUAGUUUUAACAUGAUUUUGAAGAAUUGGUGACUACAAAGUAGACAACUGGCAUCCUUUCUAUCCCUUCCUUUGUUGGUUCCUCAGUUAUAGAACAUUUAUGUCUCUUAAAAAAAAAAAAAAACAGAUUGCAAAUUGGGUUCCACAUUUUUUCCUACCAGUCAAAUUGGUCAAGAAAUUUCGCCUUCUCACCUGGAUGAAUUAAAAGACCUGACAUUGAGAUGACCACCUAUGUCCAUGCCCUGGUGUCAAGAAUCAACUUGAGAAUGGGUCUAUCACAUUUGAACUGUAUUAAGAUAUCUGAGAGAAGAUUCCAAGAUCUUGCCUGUAUUUAUAUGUUUAUUUUUUUGUGGUAAAUAUACAUAAACUUUACCAUUUUAAC